AGUGGGUGAAUAUAAUUAUCUUGGUCUAACUUAUACUGUUUAUUAUACCGCUAUUCGCAGCAAUAUCUUUCUCUGCUCCGAUUGCAACGCUGCCUCGUUCAAAAAUCAUAACACCUACACGGCCGCCACGUUUACCAGCCGGAGCCUCAAAUCAUGUCCCUUUGUGGUGAUAAAGAGGACACAGCCUGGUGUGAAGCUACAUUUAUUACGGAAGGAUGCCAGCCGGGAUCCGAACACGUCCGAUAUCAUCCAAGAGAAUGUGGCAGCUGAAGGGGAGAGUCCAAGAAAGAGGCCAAGGGUGAAGACAUUUAGCCACCCCCCCUGAAGUACAUGGCAGCAUUCAACCCUCUUGGUGAGCUGCAGGAAUGUGCUCCCCAUUGCAGUGCACCAGCUCCAUGUACUGAUUUUGGGUGUGAACUUGAUGGGGUUGGAGGAAACUCGACUCGGCCAUCAAGCUCACCACAAUAUAACAUGAAAAGUGAAAAUUGCUGCACAAAACAGUCUGUCGUCUGCACCGGGAGGCAAGGCAGCUCAAAGCCCAGGCUGUUACAACUCCUGGGCAGUUUUUGCUCAGAGCCAGCAAUUUUUUAGAUCCAAUAGGGAUGGAUUUUUUCUGAGGUCAGGUUCAACAUGCUGCAAGAUGCUAAGAUCUAAGCCUAGUAGAAGAUAUGGGUUACAAGAGAGG
Eriocheir sinensis (Chinese mitten crab) is the source of this 685-nucleotide long non-coding RNA. RefSeq lists it as uncharacterized. NCBI's taxonomy places the organism in Eukaryota, Metazoa, Arthropoda, Malacostraca, Decapoda, Varunidae. The record is from RefSeq and is a predicted model, not a curated record. The transcript is spliced from 4 exons.